CGUUAUCCGGAAUCAUUGGGCGUAAAGCGCCUGUAGGUUGUUUAAUAAGUCUGUUGUUAAAGACUAGGGCUCAACCCUAGAAAAGCAAUGGAAACUACUAGACUAGAGUAUGGCAGGGGUAGAGGGAAUUUCUAGUGUAGCGGUGAAAUGCGUAGAUAUUAGAAAGAACACCAGUGGCGAAAGCGCUCUACUGGACCAUUACUGACACUCAGAGGCGAAAGCUAGGGUAGCAAAAGGGAUUAGAUACCCCUGUAGUCCUAGCCGUAAACGAUGGAUACAAGAUGUUGUGCAUAACGUACAGUAUCGUAGCUAACGCGUUAAGUAUCCCGCCUGGGGAGUACGCUCGCAAGGGUGAAACUCAAAGGAAUUGACGGGGGCCCGCACAAGCGGUGGAGCAUGUGGUUUAAUUCGAUGCAACGCGAAGAACCUUACCAGGGCUUGACAUACUACAAAUUCUUUUGAGAAAAAGAAGUGCCUUCGGGAAUGUAGAUACAGGUGGUGCAUGGCUGUCGUCAGCUCGUGUCGUGAGAUGUUGGGUUAAGUCCCGCAACGAGCGCAACCCUUAUUUUUAGUUACUAAUUCGUUAGGUUCUCUAGAAAGACUGCCGGUGACAAACCGGAGGAAGGUGAGGAUGACGUCAAGUCAGCAUGCCCCUUAUGUCCUGGGCUACACACGUGCUACAAUGGUUAAGACAAAGAGUCGCGAGCUCGUGAGAGUCAGCUAAUCUCAUAAACUUAGCCUAAGUUCAGAUUGUAGGCUGC
This 761-nucleotide ribosomal RNA is filed under the name uncultured marine haptophyte. RNAcentral describes it as "bacterial SSU rRNA". It matches the Rfam family "Bacterial small subunit ribosomal RNA", at positions 539 to 1308 of the family's 1533-position model. The record is from RNAcentral. Lineage: Eukaryota; Haptophyta.